AUACAUGCAAGUCGAACGAACUCUGGUAUUGAUUGGUGCUUGCAUCAUGAUUUACAUUUGAGUGAGUGGCGAACUGGUGAGUAACACGUGGGAAACCUGCCCAGAAGCGGGGGAUAACACCUGGAAACAGAUGCUAAUACCGCAUAAGGGCCAUACCGGCAUGGUCCGAGCUUGAAAGAUGGCUUCGGCUAUCACUUUUGGAUGGUCCCGCGGCGUAUUAGCUAGAUGGUGGGGUAACGGCUCACCAUGGCAAUGAUACGUAGCCGACCUGAGAGGGUAAUCGGCCACAUUGGGACUGAGACACGGCCCAAACUCCUACGGGAGGCAGCAGUAGGGAAUCUUCCACAAUGGACGAAAGUCUGAUGGAGCAACGCCGCGUGAGUGAAGAAGGGUUUCGGCUCGUAAAACUCUGUUGUUAAAGAAGAACAUAUCUGAGAGUAACUGUUCAGGUAUUGACGGUAUUUAACCAGAAAGCCACGGCUAACUACGUGCCAGCAGCCGCGGUAAUACGUAGGUGGCAAGCGUUGUCCGGAUUUAUUGGGCGUAAAGCGAGCGCAGGCGGUUUUUUAAGUCUGAUGUGAAAGCCUUCGGCUCAACCGAAGAAGUGCAUCGGAAACUGGGAAACUUGAGUGCAGAAGAGGACAGUGGAACUCCAUGUGUAGCGGUGAAAUGCGUAGAUAUAUGGAAGAACACCAGUGGCGAAGGCGGCUGUCUGGUCUGUAACUGACGCUGAGGCUCGAAAGUAUGGGUAGCAAACAGGAUUAGAUACCCUGGUAGUCCAUACCGUAAACGAUGAAUGCUAAGUGUUGGAGGGUUUCCGCCCUUCAGUGCUGCAGCUAACGCAUUAAGCAUUCCGCCUGGGGAGUACGGCCGCAAGGCUGAAACUCAAAGGAAUUGACGGGGGCCCGCACAAGCGGUGGAGCAUGUGGUUUAAUUCGAAGCUACGCGAAGAACCUUACCAGGUCUUGACAUACUAUGCAAAUCUAAGAGAUUAGACGUUCCCUUCGGGGACAUGGAUACAGGUGGUGCAUGGUUGUCGUCAGCUCGUGUCGUGAGAUGUUGGGUUAAGUCCCGCAACGAGCGCAACCCUUAUUAUCAGUUGCCAGCAUUAAGUUGGGCACUCUGGUGAGACUGCCGGUGACAAACCGGAGGAAGGUGGGGAUGACGUCAAAUCAUCAUGCCCCUUAUGACCUGGGCUACACACGUGCUACAAUGGAUGGUACAACGAGUUGCGAACUCGCGAGAGUAAGCUAAUCUCUUAAAGCCAUUCUCAGUUCGGAUUGUAGGCUGCAACUCGCCUACAUGAAGUCGGAAUCGCUAGUAAUCGCGGAUCAGCAUGCCGCGGUGAAUACGUUCCCGGGCCUUGUACACACCGCCCGUCACACCAUGAGAGUUUGUAACACCCAAAGUCGGUGGGGUAACCUUGGUUGCCGCCUAAUGG
RNAcentral lists this ribosomal RNA (1441 nucleotides) under Lactiplantibacillus plantarum. RNAcentral describes it as "bacterial SSU rRNA". It matches the Rfam family "Bacterial small subunit ribosomal RNA". The record is from RNAcentral. Lineage: Bacteria; Bacillati; Bacillota; Bacilli; Lactobacillales; Lactobacillaceae.